AGUAACGGCGAGUGAAGCGGCAACAGCUCUAAUUUGAAAUCUGGCCCUCGGGUCCGUAUUGUAAUUUGUAGAGGAUGGUUUUGGUGAGGUACCUUCCGAGUUGCCUGGAACGGGACGCCAUAGAGGGUGAGAGCCCCGUCUGGUUGGAUUCCGAUCCUCUGUAAAGCUCCUUCGACGAGUCGAGUUGUUUGGGA
RNAcentral lists this ribosomal RNA (194 nucleotides) under Ilyonectria sp. Its description in RNAcentral is "partial large subunit ribosomal RNA". It matches the Rfam family "Eukaryotic large subunit ribosomal RNA", at positions 82 to 279 of the family's 3401-position model. The record is from RNAcentral. Lineage: Eukaryota; Fungi; Ascomycota; Sordariomycetes; Hypocreales; Nectriaceae.